Molecule: long non-coding RNA, 523 nt
Filed under: Vigna radiata
Lineage: Eukaryota; Viridiplantae; Streptophyta; Magnoliopsida; Fabales; Fabaceae
Description: long non-coding RNA (VRAD_LNC011828)
Source: RNAcentral
UUUUUCUAUCUUAGUUCAUUGCAUUUAUAAUUCCUCAUGUUUGUUUUAAUGUUGCGUAAGCUUUCGAAACAAUGAAACCUGAUUUUGGUGGUGUGAUGGAGUGAUUUUUAACCUCUUUUUGGCCAUAAGAAAGGUCUUAUAUCAAAUGGUAACCUCUUGUAGUGAUCUCACAAUAUGAUAUUUAAAUAUAAAUAAAACAAGGAUAUCCUAAGUUAGUUAUUCAGCUAUUGUUAGUUCAUACCGUUUGGUAGUUGUCCAUAAAGGUAGGUUGUUGUAUUAUGUGCAGCUGAAUGUAGAUCAAAUUGUAAUUACAAAAGUUCAUUGCACAUGUUCUUUGACCACACAUGUCUCCUUUUUCACUUAAACCUUCCCAUUGUGUUUUGUCCACUCAUCCCCUCCUCUUUCUCUUUCUUUCUAUUUCUCGUUACCCCUCUUUGAUUCUUUCUUCUAUCUCACCCAAAUUCCAUAUCACAAUGGUAAUAAAGAAAGCUAAGUCUGACUUAUACCUCUAAUACCAUAUCAC